AGACGUCUACAUUAGACUACCCCGUAGUCCCAGCCGUAAACUAUGCGCGUUAGGUGUAUCGGUGACCACGAGUUACCGAGGUGCCGAAGGGAAACCGUGAAACGUGCCGCCGUGGGAAGUACGGUCGCAAGGCUAGAAACUUAAAGGAAUUGGCGGGGAGCACCACAACAGGUGGAGCCUGCGGUUUAAUUGGACUCAACGCCGGGAAGCUCACCGGAUAGGACAGCAGAAUGAUUGCCGGGCUGAAGACCCUGCAUGACUAGCUG
RNAcentral lists this ribosomal RNA (266 nucleotides) under uncultured archaeon. Its description in RNAcentral is "partial 16S ribosomal RNA". It matches the Rfam family "Archaeal small subunit ribosomal RNA", at positions 717 to 982 of the family's 1478-position model. The record is from RNAcentral.